This 706-nucleotide ribosomal RNA is filed under the name Gymnosiphon longistylus. Its description in RNAcentral is "eukaryotic LSU rRNA". The stretch from base 306 to 461 matches the Rfam family "5.8S ribosomal RNA". Lineage: Eukaryota; Viridiplantae; Streptophyta; Magnoliopsida; Dioscoreales; Burmanniaceae. The record is from RNAcentral.
UGAACCUGCGGAAGGAUCAUUGUCGAGACCCAAGGAUUCAAACAAUAAACUGACGGAUAUUUGUCAACCAAGUAUGUCCCUUUGAUGGGGCGGAUAAGAUUAGGUGGGAAUUUCCUGCUCUUUUCUUAGCUGUCGUUGUCGAGGGGAUGUUGUCUUGUCGUUCUCCCCAUCGAGGGGCGACGGCGGAUGAUUUGUUAAACCUGGCACGAUACGUGUCAAGGAUAUUUUUGGCCCGUGUAGCGUUGUGUCGGUUGUUGACAACUCUCACUCGCUCAUGGGAUCUAUUGAAAAGUCAUAAUUAUGAUGACUCUCGGCAACGGAUAUCUAGGCUCUCGCAUCGAUGAAGAACGUAGCGAAAUGCGAUACUUGGUGUGAAUUGCAGAAUCCCGUGAACCAUCGAGUUUUUGAACGCAAGUUGCGCCCGAGACCUUUAGGUUGAGGGCACGCCUGCCUGGGCGUCAUGCCUCGUGUCACUCCAACCAUCCCAUGUCUUGGCAUCGGGAUUGAUGGAAGUGGAGAUUGGCUUACCGGGCCUCUCACGGCGUGGUGGGCUGAAGAAUGAGAUGUCAACGUCGCAUAUGGACACGACUAGUGGUGGAUGGGCAAAUUUAUUGGCCGAGACCGAUGUCGUUCCUCUUCUUUGGCACCUGUUGUGAACAACCGACGGUUGUCCCUCGCGUGCACCCCAGGUCAGGCGGGACCACCC